Molecule: ribosomal RNA, 253 nt
Filed under: uncultured bacterium
Lineage: Bacteria
Description: partial 16S ribosomal RNA
Rfam family: Bacterial small subunit ribosomal RNA
Source: RNAcentral
UACGAAGGGGGCUAGCGUUGUCCGGAUUUAUUGGGCGUAAAGAGCGUGUAGGCGGCUAGGUAGGUCCGUUGUGAAAACUCGAGGCUCAACCUCGAGACGUCGAUGGAAACCAUCUAGCUAGAGUCCGGAAGAGGAGAGUGGAAUUCCUGGUGUAGCGGUGAAAUGCGCAGAUAUCAGGAAGAACACCCGUGGCGAAGGCGGCUCUCUGGUACGUGACUGACGCUGAGACGCGAAAGCGUGGGGAGCGAACAGG